AUACGAAGGGGGCUAGCGUUGUUCGGAAUCACUGGGCGUAAAGCGCGCGUAGGUGGAUCAAUUAGUUGAGGGUGAAAUCCCGGGGCUCAACCUCGGAACUGCCUUCAAUACUGUUGAUCUUGAGACCGAGAGAGGUGAGUGGAAUUCCUAGUGUAGAGGUGAAAUUCGUAGAUAUUAGGAAGAACACCAGUGGCGAAGGCGGCCCACUGGCUCGGUACUGACGCUGAGGUGCGAAAGCGUGGGGAGCAAACAGGAUUAGAAACCCUAGUAGUCC
This 274-nucleotide ribosomal RNA is filed under the name uncultured bacterium. RNAcentral's name for it is "partial 16S ribosomal RNA". It matches the Rfam family "Bacterial small subunit ribosomal RNA", at positions 523 to 796 of the family's 1533-position model. The record is from RNAcentral.